CACGUAGGGCGCAAGCGUUGUCCGGAAUUAUUGGGCGUAAAGAGCUCGUAGGCGGUCUGUUGCGUCCGCUGUGAAAACCCGAGGCUCAACCUCGGGCCUGCAGUGGGUACGGGCAGACUAGAGUGCGGUAGGGGAGAUUGGAAUUCCUGGUGUAGCGGUGAAAUGCGCAGAUAUCAGGAGGAACACCGAUGGCGAAGGCAGCUCACUGGGACGGUACUGACGCUGAGACGCGAAAGCGUGGGGAGCAAACAGG
RNAcentral lists this ribosomal RNA (253 nucleotides) under uncultured bacterium. Its description in RNAcentral is "partial 16S ribosomal RNA". It matches the Rfam family "Bacterial small subunit ribosomal RNA", at positions 524 to 776 of the family's 1533-position model. The record is from RNAcentral.